CCCUUAGAUGUUCUGGGCCGCACGCGCGCUACACUGACGGGGACAACGAGUUUGCAACCUGCGCCGGUAGGUGUGGGUAAUCUUUUGAGCCCUCGUCGUGCUGGGGCUAGAUCUUUGUAAUUUUCGAUCUCAAACGAGGAAUUCCUAGUAAGCGUGAUUCAUCAGAUCGCGUUGAUUACGUCCCUGCCCUUUGUACACACCGCCCGUCGCUACUACCGAUUGAGUGAUCCGGUGAAUAAUUCGGACUGCAGCACUGCUUGGUCUCCAGGCUUUGCAGCGGAAAGUUUAGUGAACCUUAUCACUUAGAGGAAGGAGAANUCGUAACA
This 326-nucleotide ribosomal RNA is filed under the name uncultured eukaryote. RNAcentral's name for it is "partial 18S ribosomal RNA". It matches the Rfam family "Eukaryotic small subunit ribosomal RNA", at positions 1470 to 1796 of the family's 1831-position model. The record is from RNAcentral.